UACGGAUGCUCCUAGUCGAAUGGCUGG
RNAcentral lists this non-coding RNA (27 nucleotides) under Homo sapiens (human). Lineage: Eukaryota; Metazoa; Chordata; Mammalia; Primates; Hominidae. The record is from RNAcentral.